CAGAGAAUAAAAAACUAAAAGAUCCAUAAAAUCAAAAUAUUAGAGUAAAACAUUUAUCAUUUUCGUCAAACACAACUUCAUCAUCUCCAUAUGUCAACUACUAAUGAUUAGCAAAUAGAAUUUGCUUGAAUUAAGAAUUAAAUGGUAUUUUAGGAAUAAUGGCGGAUGGAAAGAUAGGAUUGUGCUUUUUCAAAUUUACAUGGCGCGUGGGAAGUUAAGGUGAGUGGAGAAAUAUGACAAGGUGGUGGAAAUAGCAUCACUGACCACUAAUAAUUGAAGGAAAAUUUAAGAAUAAUGGUGGGUGAAAAGAUAAGGAUUGUGUCCUACUGUUUGGCCUUUUAGGAAAUGAGUAAAACUAGAUUAUUCGGGUACUUUUAUUUCAUGAAAGAAUUAGGAAAGGACUUAUAUUGUUUCCAGCUCCGAUUACCUAAUAUUUAAUGCACACAGA
Molecule: long non-coding RNA, 448 nt
Filed under: Prunus persica (peach)
Lineage: Eukaryota; Viridiplantae; Streptophyta; Magnoliopsida; Rosales; Rosaceae
Description: long non-coding RNA (PPER_LNC000150)
Source: RNAcentral